Molecule: ribosomal RNA, 444 nt
Filed under: uncultured marine bacterium
Lineage: Bacteria
Description: bacterial SSU rRNA
Rfam family: Bacterial small subunit ribosomal RNA
Source: RNAcentral
AAUAUUGGGCAAUGGGCGAAAGCCUGACCCAGCCACGCCGCGUGGAGGAAGACACCCCUAUGGGGCGUAAACUCCUUUUAUACGGGAAGAACCCCUCCCUCAGGGAGCCUGACGGUACCGUAUGAAUAAGCACCGGCUAACUCCGUGCCAGCAGCCGCGGUAAUACGGAGGGUGCAAGCGUUGUCCGGAUUCACUGGGUGUAAAGGGUGUGUAGGCGGGACGGUAUGUCAGAGGUGAAAGCCCACGGCUCAACCGUGGAAUUGCCUUUGAAACUGCCGUUCUUGAGUCUCGGAGAGGUCGCUGGAAUUCGUGGUGUAGCGGUGAAAUGCGUAGAUAUCACGAGGAACACCAGAGGCGUAGGCGGGCGACUGGACGAGUACUGACGCUGAGGCACGAAAGCGUGGGGAGCAAACAGGAUUAGAUACCCUGGUAGUCCACGCCGUA